RNAcentral lists this long non-coding RNA (1275 nucleotides) under Homo sapiens (human). RNAcentral describes it as "HSALNT0360093". Lineage: Eukaryota; Metazoa; Chordata; Mammalia; Primates; Hominidae. The record is from RNAcentral.
AAAUUAAUGAGCCAAUAUUGAGACAUUAUUAUUACUAAAGUCCAUGCUUUAUGCAGAUUUUCUUAGUUUUUACCUGCUGUCAUUUUUCAGUUCCAGGAAUGCAUUCAGGAUGCCAUACCACAUUUAGUUCUCAUAUCUGCUUAGGCUCCUCUUGGCUAGACUGAGUUUUAAUCUACUUUCUGCAGAGCCUGAGAACUUUAGCAUAAUUUCCUUGAAAUUACAGCUCAAUAUUUUCAAGCACUUAUACAAACAGCCUAAUGUUACGUUGGCCCAUAACAGUGUUUCAAGGUAAUAAACUUCUUUGUUUUCUGUGCCGAUUGAAAGAACUGCUGCUUAGCCUCCUGCCAGAUGAUGAACUGGGUACACACGAGCAUUUUUCCAGCAAGAAGAGUUGGCCCUUUGUAUCUGUGGUUUCUGCAUCCCUGGAUUCAACCAACUGUAGAUGGAAAAUAUUUGAAGAAAAAAGCGUCUAUACUGACACCCACAGAUCUCACCAAGAACCUAGCUGAAGCCUGUAGAAUGAAUAGGACUUGCACUUCUACUAUGCCUAGGCUGAAGAAAAUGGCUCAGGAAGAUGAACAAUCUCACAGAGCCCUAACUAACUGAAGCCAGGUGUUAUAAAGCACAAGUCAAGAGGGCUGGCUUCUUCCCUCAGCCUCGUCCGACCCCAGCCUGGGUUCAAUGAACAUUCGGUAAAGGAACACGGAAUGUCAAGCGCAUUAGAGACAACCUUGAGACACAUUCCUCUUGCGGAUCGAGGCCAUCAAGCUACAGAUGAUCUUACAAAUGUAACCCCAAAUGAGCUCAACUAACAACUUCUGCUGAGGACCCCUGGACCGACCCGCUGGCCCUUUCAAUGGCCUAAAGAGCUCCCCUCUGGAGGACACUACCACUGCAGGGCCCCUUCUUCACCCCUAUCCAGCAGGAAGUAGCUACAGCGGUCAUCGCCAAAUCCCAACAGCAGCUGGGGUGUCCUGUUUGGAGGGGGGAUUGAGAGGUGAAGCCAGCUGGGCUUCUGGGUCAGGUGGGGACUUGGAGAACUUUUGUGUCUAGCUAAAGGAUUGUAAAUGCACCAAUCAGCACUCUGUGUCUAGCUAAAGGAUUGUAAAUGCACCAAUCAGCACUCUGUAAAAUGGACCAAUCAGCAGGAUGUGGGCGGGGUCAAAUAAGGGAGUAAAAACUGGCCACCCGAGCCAGCAGUGGCAACCCACUCGGGUCCCCUUCCACACUGUGGAAGCUUUGUUCUUUUGCUCUUCACAAUAAAUCUUGCUGCUG